Perca fluviatilis (European perch) is the source of this 125-nucleotide long non-coding RNA. RefSeq lists it as uncharacterized. The transcript has 2 exons. The record is from RefSeq and is a predicted model, not a curated record. Lineage: Eukaryota; Metazoa; Chordata; Actinopteri; Perciformes; Percidae.
GAGGUGAAGACUGAGAGAUCAAAGCUGCUGGACCUUCAUCAAUUAACAGUGUGAUUUAAAGUCAGCUUCUUCAUCUCUCUGAAGAGGAGAUCUCAACACUUCAGGAGGACCAGGAGACCUGGAGA